Molecule: ribosomal RNA, 497 nt
Filed under: uncultured bacterium
Lineage: Bacteria
Description: partial 16S ribosomal RNA
Rfam family: Bacterial small subunit ribosomal RNA
Source: RNAcentral
GAUGAACGCUGGCGGCGUGCCUAAUACAUGCAAGUCGAGCGAACGGACGAGAAGCUUGCUUCUCUGAUGUUAGCGGCGGACGGGUGAGUAACACGUGGAUAACCUACCUAUAAGACUGGGAUAACUUCGGGAAACCGGAGCUAAUACCGGAUAAUAUUUUGAACCGCAUGGUUCAAAAGUGAAAGACGGUCUUGCUGUCACUUAUAGAAGGAUCCGCGCUGCAUUAGCUAGUUGGUAAGGUAACGGCUUACCAAGGCAACGAUGCAUAGCCGACCUGAGAGGGUGAUCGGCCACACUGGAACUGAGACACAGUCCAGACUCCUACGGGAGGCAGCAGUAGGGAAUCUUCCGCAAUGGGCGAAAGCCUGACGGAGCAACGCCGCGUGAGUGAUGAAGGUCUUCGGAUCGUAAAACUCUGUUAUUAGGGAAGAACAUAUGUGUAAGUAACUGUGCACAUCUUGACGGUACCUAAUCAGAAAGCCACGGCUAACUACGUG